This is a long non-coding RNA of Apteryx owenii (little spotted kiwi), 1692 nucleotides long. The record is from Ensembl. NCBI's taxonomy places the organism in Eukaryota, Metazoa, Chordata, Aves, Apterygiformes, Apterygidae.
UCUGCUCCUAAAUUUUAGGGACUGGGGUCUCCACAAAGUCCAAGCAGAGGCAAGUCAUGCUUUCCUGGAUUAGCCCAAGGGAAUUCCUGCCCCUGAGCACCUCCUGUGCAACUAGUCCUGUUCCAGGGGCGUGGGGAGGAUCUCCGAGGCCAGUGCUUCCCACUUGGGUUUUUGUUGCAGUAGGAAGCACUGUGUGAACGAUGGUGCCUACAAAUUCACCUUUGGGAGCGGGACAAGGCUCCUUGUGAUGCCCAAUGUUAUUCCAUCUCCUUCAGUCUAUAGGCUGACCUCUAAAGAUGAUGAGAGUUUGGAAAUGUGCCUUAUCACAGAUUACUCCCCUGGAAACCUUACAUCUAAGAUGAAUAAAACGAAGACAGAUGCCGUUGUGGAGGUGGUAACAUCUGAGAACAAACAGGAAGCAAGCUACGUGUCAACCUACUGGACCAAGAAAAAUGAAACGCAGUGUGGCGCAAAGCACGACGGGUUUGGAGAGCUGGAAGGCGAGGAUCCUGAAAGUGGUGCCAGCACUGUCUGUGUAACAGGGGUGUCUCAACACUUCAGGACAGAUGAGAAGCUGAACCUGCUGUCAUUCUCACAACUGGGCCUGAAAAUAAUUUUAAUGAAAGGAAUAAUUUUUAAUGUACUAAUGACAAUGCUUAUGUGGAAAAAAAAGAAUGAAAGUAACCAGAGAGCACAGACUUGAAGUACCAAAAAAAUUUGCUGAGAUUGCUUUGCCGUAGCAUCACGUGCAAGAAGGAACAAAUGAAUUUCUGUUGCAACAGAUAACACUUGCUGUUUCUGUAUAUCAUGCCAGCCAUUAUAUGCUAAGUUGCUUUAUUUGCAUUAUUACAAAGCUACUCAAAAAUAAGCUUAAACUCUCGGAAUUCUGCUCUCCUACAUACCUGAAUCAUUUAGCAUGUCAAUUUUUCAUGAAGCACAGAUUGCUAUUAAUUAUAGAUUGUCAAACAUCCCUUCUACUUGCACUAAAAUGACCUGUACAAUUUCUGCUUGGGGGAGCGUUGUUGAAAGCUGCAAGCUAAAUAUCUCUUGAGUGUGAAUAUUUCAUAUUUUGACAGCUUUCACAUAUGCAUAUCUUAGAGAGGACACUUCCUGCCCUGCCCUGCCACCCCUAUUUCAGUUGCGAAUGAAAAAUUUUGAAAAACAAAGGAAGUCUCAUUCAGGGUGCUGUGCAUCGUGUCUUGCUGUCUUUUGCUAGAUAGGAGCAGGGUAUCUUUUUUUCCCUAAAAGAUAUGCUGCUAAAUCUCCAGAAGUACUGAACUUAGUGCAAUUCUCACUUCAUUAUCAUAGAAGAAAAAAAAUGCUCUUUAAUAUUUUUUUAAUCUAUUCUUCCUUAACAUUUCCUGAAUUUCCACCAGCUUAAUAUUUGGCUUUGCGUUUACUACAAAUACAAACUACUUCUGUUCUUUUUGUUUAGGUCUAACAACCUUAGAUUUCCUAAUAAGUUUUUCUUUUUUUUUAACCAUGAUAUAAAACAAUACUGAAAUACUUAUCUCUUUUUGUGUGUGUGCUCCUUAAAAAUAGUGCAUUCAUGUGAAAUUUGCAUGCUGCUAAGUCUUGAAUUGUACUGCCAAUCACUCUGAUGUACUGACUUUUCUUCAAGCCUUUGGCAACUGUUAAACAAUUCUUAUCAAUAAUAAUAAACUUACUUGUCUUUUGUAUAUUUAGCUUGAG